GCCUAUGGCCAUACCACCCUGAACGCACCUGAUCUUGUCUGAUUUCGGAAGCGAAGCAGGGUCGGGCCUGGUUAGUACUUAGAUGAGAGAAUUUAGCGCUCGAACACUAUUGCUGUCGAUG
Molecule: ribosomal RNA, 121 nt
Filed under: Cercocebus atys (sooty mangabey)
Lineage: Eukaryota; Metazoa; Chordata; Mammalia; Primates; Cercopithecidae
Source: RNAcentral